Molecule: transfer RNA, 67 nt
Filed under: Penenirmus auritus
Lineage: Eukaryota; Metazoa; Arthropoda; Insecta; Psocodea; Philopteridae
Description: tRNA-Gly
Source: RNAcentral
AUCUCAUUAGUAUAAUGAAAAUACAGCUAAUUUCCAAUUAGCCAAUUCCCCUACAGGGAAUGAGAUA